GACUGGGGGGAACCUGAUCCAGCCAUGCCGCGUGUGUGAAGAAGGCCUUAUGGUUGUAAAGCACUUUAAGCGAGGAGGAGGUUACUCUAAUUAAUACCUAGGGAUAGUGGACGUUACUCGCAGAAUAAGCACCGGCUAACUCUGUGCCAGCAGCCGCGGUAAUACAGAGGGUGCGAGCGUUAAUCGGAUUUACUGGGCGUAAAGCGUGCGUAGGCGGCUUAUUAAGUCGGAUGUGAAAUCCCCGAGCUUAACUUGGGAAUUGCAUUCGAUACUGGUGAGCUAGAGUAUGGGAGAGGAUGGUAGAAUUCCAGGUGUAGCGGCGAAAUGCGUAGAGAUCUGGAGGAAUACCGAUGGCGAAGGCAGCCAUCUGGCCUAAUACUGACGCUGAGGUACGAAAGCAUGGGGAGCAAACAGGAUUAGAUACCCUGGUAGUCCAUGCCGUAAACGAUGUCUACUAGCCGUUGGGGCCUUUGAGGCUUUAGUGGCGCAGCUAACGCGAUAAGUAGACCGCCUGGGGAGUACGGUCGCAAGACUAAAACUCAAAUGAAUUGACGGGGGCCCGCACAAGCGGUGGAGCAUGUGGUUUAAUUCGAUGCAACGCGAAGAACCUUAGCUGG
RNAcentral lists this ribosomal RNA (617 nucleotides) under uncultured archaeon. RNAcentral's name for it is "bacterial SSU rRNA". It matches the Rfam family "Bacterial small subunit ribosomal RNA", at positions 369 to 978 of the family's 1533-position model. The record is from RNAcentral.